RNAcentral lists this long non-coding RNA (230 nucleotides) under Ananas comosus (pineapple). Its description in RNAcentral is "long non-coding RNA (ACOM_LNC016471)". Lineage: Eukaryota; Viridiplantae; Streptophyta; Magnoliopsida; Poales; Bromeliaceae. The record is from RNAcentral.
UAAAAUUAUAGAUUUUGUGAUCCUUUGAUCGCUCAGUUAUGAUGCCAAAAAAUUAUGAAAUUUGAUUUCUAAAUAAUUUAAAUGGUUUAGAUUAUGUUCAAUGGUGCCGAUCGUCGAUUUGGAAGCUUUAUCAUAAAAAACAAAUCAGUAGUAAAUCAAACAAUUUACUACCAAUAGUAGCCCAGUCAAACUCUCUCUCUCUCUCUCUCUCUCUCUCUCUCUCUCUCUCU